This 162-nucleotide ribosomal RNA is filed under the name uncultured bacterium. RNAcentral's name for it is "partial 16S rRNA". It matches the Rfam family "Bacterial small subunit ribosomal RNA", at positions 358 to 511 of the family's 1533-position model. The record is from RNAcentral.
GGAAUCUUCGGCAAUGGGGGCAACCCUGACCGAGCAACGCCGCGUGAGUGAAGAAGGUUUUCGGAUCGUAAAGCUCUGUUGUAAGAGAAGAACGUGUGUGAGAGUGGAAAGUUCACACAGUGACGGUAACUUACCAGAAAGGGACGGCUAACUACGUGCCAU